GACGAACGCUGGCGGCGUGCUUAACACAUGCAAGUCGAACGGAAAGGCCCUGCUUUUGUGGGGUGCUCGAGUGGCGAACGGGUGAGUAACACGUGAGAACCUGCCCUUGACUUUGGGAUAACUUCAGGAAACUGGGGCUAAUACCGGAUAGGAGCUCCUGCUGCCUGGUGGGGGUUGGAAAGUUUCGGCGGUUGGGGAUGGACUCGCGGCUUAUCAGCUUGUUGGUGGGGUAGUGGCUUACCAAGGCUUUGACGGGUAGCCGGCCUGAGAGGGUGACCGGCCACAUUGGGACUGAGAUACGGCCCAGACUCCUACGGGAGGCAGCAGUGGGGAAUAUUGCACAAUGGGCGGAAGCCUGAUGCAGCAACGCCGCGUGCGGGAUGACGGCCUUCGGGUUGUAAACCGCUUUCGCCUGUGACGAAGCGUGAGUGACGGUAAUGGGUAAAGAAGCACCGGCUAACUACGUG
Molecule: ribosomal RNA, 467 nt
Filed under: uncultured bacterium
Lineage: Bacteria
Description: partial 16S ribosomal RNA
Rfam family: Bacterial small subunit ribosomal RNA
Source: RNAcentral